GGCGAGGACACGGGGAGAAGGAGGCAUCCCCAAACCAAAGAGAGACCAGUCCUGCCAACACCUCGAUCUCGGGCUUCCAGUCUCAGAACUUGGAGGAUCAAUUCCUACUGUUUAAACAUCCAGGCUGUGGUGUUUUGUUACAUCAGCACUUGCAAACUAAUACGGUCAGAUCCACAGGUACUGGGGAUUAGCACUUCAGCAUCCUUCUAGGGCUCGUGGCAAAUGGGACAACAAACCAGGCCACUAGCCUAAGAGUCAGGCUUGAUGCUUCUCCAAGAUUUUUUUAGAUCAGACCACACCAAGCAGGAUCUGAUGGUCAGGAUCACUGCUGACCAGAAUCUUUCCACGUCCCCGGCACUGUUAUGAGCAAAUGCCUGUUCUGAUCUUGGAAGACAAAAAGGAAAGUUGAGGCUCAGCUCCAGACGUGAGGCCAAUUCUGAGGAAGGGCUACAAGAUGAGCACCACAACCCUGGCCACAAAGAAAGCUGUGAUCCAGAGGACAGCUGCUCCACCAGCUCGAUCUGAUGGAAGGAUGGACAAUAAACCCCCAGCCAACCGAUGAGGACAACCCAGCAUGAGCAAGAAACAAGCUUUUGCUGACUCACAGAGAUAUGGGAAGUGUUUGUUAUUCGGGAAGAACUUAGCCUAACCUGACUCAUACAUUUCACCAAUCCCAGACCCUGGCAUGGGAAAGGCAUUCUGUGCAUACCUGACAAUGAAUAAAUACAUA
RNAcentral lists this long non-coding RNA (730 nucleotides) under Capra hircus (goat). Its description in RNAcentral is "lncRNA (ENSCHIG00000004222.1)". The record is from RNAcentral. Lineage: Eukaryota; Metazoa; Chordata; Mammalia; Artiodactyla; Bovidae.